Trichonephila inaurata madagascariensis is the source of this 73-nucleotide non-coding RNA. The record is from the annotation of a GenBank genome assembly. NCBI's taxonomy places the organism in Eukaryota, Metazoa, Arthropoda, Arachnida, Araneae, Nephilidae.
GUUCCGGUAACGUAAUUAAUAGGGCGUUGGACUUCUAAUCCAAAGGUUGUGAGUUCGAACCUCACCUGGGAUG